UUCGAAGUAGCUCAGUGGUAGAGCAAUCGGCUGUUAACCGAUUGGUCGUAGGUUCGAGUCCUACCUUCGGAG
Molecule: transfer RNA, 72 nt
Filed under: Ureibacillus aquaedulcis
Lineage: Bacteria; Bacillati; Bacillota; Bacilli; Caryophanales; Caryophanaceae
Description: tRNA-Asn
Rfam family: tRNA
About the family: Transfer RNA (tRNA) molecules are approximately 80 nucleotides in length.
Source: RNAcentral